GGGUUUUGCCCUCACUUUUUUUUCUUAACUAUGGCUCUGCGAUUCAGUCGUUCUUGAAUCCUCUCCUUUUUGGGUUUUUUUGCUCUACGCAGAGAGAGAACAAUGGAGAGAAAAGGAGAGUUUGUUUCCGCUGUGCCUAGAAUAGCCCAGUUGUUAUUGCUGAUGAAAAACAUCCCUGGAGAUUGGGGUUUUGUUUGCUGCAUCUCUUAUGGCGAUCUGGAGUUUUCAGCAAAAAAAGGAGGGGUUUUAUUUUCAGCAAAAGCAAACUUCCAGUAUUUUGCAAUUGUGUAGAUACUUUUCAUGAAGUGAAGAGCAAACGUGAAAGAAGGAAAGAAGACAAAGCUUUGACAAUGCAAUUGUUGGCUGUGGCAUGUUUGUCCCUUGCAGCCAAAAUGGAGGAGAUUAAUGUCUCAAUCUCCCUUGAUUUACAGGAAUUGACUUCUUGGAAUUUAAACCUUCAGAGUUUGCAGCAGCAGUGACCAUUUCUGUAACGGGAGGAAGCAUAGCAUUAGAUUACACUUAGAAUUCAAUCUCGCUUAUCAAUGGUGAUUUGGAUGAAGCAAGGAAAGAGCAAAAGUCAAACUUUGAACAUCAAAGACAAGAUAAUGUUGACUGGCAAGAGACUCCAGUUGCAGGUUGGACCUAUUGUUGGACUUGAUCAAUAUGUCAACUACUUCAAAAUUCAGCUGAGGAUACAACAGAGGAUUAAAAGCGCAGAGCUCAGGAUGUUAACCGAGGAGCAAGAAAAUGAACUUCCAAACUUUACACCAUUCAUUCAAUUGAUGUCUCCCUUGGUGAGUUUCCUCUCUGAACUAUUCUGUUUCUAUUUUGAUGAUUCCCGCAGCCUGUUAUUAGUAUUUAACUCGAUGCUUAAAACUUUAAGAUUAUAUACAAUGAUAUGUAAUUAGAGAACGACGAUUUUUCUAUAAUGCUUCAUUUGGCAACUGAUAAUCUUUUGUACCAAUGGUUCUUAUAUUGCUUUUUGAAGUUCGGUACUAAUUAUGAAAAGAACAAUUUCGAAAGUAUAAGUAAAA
Molecule: RNA transcript, 1034 nt
Organism: Rosa chinensis
Lineage: Eukaryota; Viridiplantae; Streptophyta; Magnoliopsida; Rosales; Rosaceae
Exons: 6
Source: RefSeq, a predicted model, not a curated record